GGUUAAGCGACUAAGCGUACACGGUGGAUGCCCUGGCAGUCAGAGGCGAUGAAGGGCGUGCUAAUCUGCGAUAAGCGCCGGUAAGGUGAUAUGAACCGUUAUAACCGGCGAUACCCGAAUGGGGAAACCCAGUGUGAUUCGUCACACUAUCAUUAACUGAAUCCAUAGGUUAAUGAGGCGAACCGGGGGAACUGAAACAUCUAAGUACCCCGAGGAAAAGAAAUCAAC
This 228-nucleotide ribosomal RNA is filed under the name Salmonella enterica. RNAcentral's name for it is "partial 23S ribosomal RNA". It matches the Rfam family "Bacterial large subunit ribosomal RNA", at positions 1 to 229 of the family's 2925-position model. Lineage: Bacteria; Pseudomonadati; Pseudomonadota; Gammaproteobacteria; Enterobacterales; Enterobacteriaceae. The record is from RNAcentral.